Molecule: transfer RNA, 72 nt
Filed under: Camelus bactrianus (Bactrian camel)
Lineage: Eukaryota; Metazoa; Chordata; Mammalia; Artiodactyla; Camelidae
Also listed under: 2 other names
Rfam family: tRNA
About the family: Transfer RNA (tRNA) molecules are approximately 80 nucleotides in length. Their secondary structure includes four short double-helical elements and three loops (D, anti-codon, and T loops).
Source: Rfam by way of RNAcentral
GAGGGUACAGCUCAGUGGUAGAGCACAUGCUUAGCAUGCACAAGGUCCUGGGUUCAGUCCCCAGUACCUCCU